GACGAACGCUGGCGGCGUGCUUAACACAUGCAAGUCGAACGGAAAGGCCCUGCUUUUGUGGGGUGCUCGAGUGGCGAACGGGUGAGUAACACGUGAGUAACCUGCCCUUGACUUUGGGAUAACUUCAGGAAACUGGGGCUAAUACCGGAUAGGAGCUCCUGCUGCAUGGUGGGGGUUGGAAAGUUUCGGCGGUUGGGGAUGGACUCGCGGCUUAUCAGCUUGUUGGUGGGGUAGUGGCUUACCAAGGCUUUGACGGGUAGCCGGCCUGAGAGGGUGACCGGCCACCUUGGGACUGAGAUACGGCCCAGACUCCUACGGGAGGCAGCAGUGGGGAAUAUUGCACAAUGGGCUGAAGCCUGAUGCAGCAACGCCGCGUGCGGGAUGACGGCCUUCGGGUUGUAAACCGCUUUCGCCUGUGACGAAGCGUGAGUGACGGUAAUGGGUAAAGAAGCACCGGCUAACUACGUG
RNAcentral lists this ribosomal RNA (468 nucleotides) under uncultured bacterium. RNAcentral's name for it is "partial 16S ribosomal RNA". It matches the Rfam family "Bacterial small subunit ribosomal RNA", at positions 28 to 507 of the family's 1533-position model. The record is from RNAcentral.